Molecule: ribosomal RNA, 830 nt
Filed under: uncultured Sphingobacteriia bacterium
Lineage: Bacteria; Pseudomonadati; Bacteroidota; Sphingobacteriia
Description: bacterial SSU rRNA
Rfam family: Bacterial small subunit ribosomal RNA
Source: RNAcentral
GGGGUAGCAAUACCCUGAUGGCGACCGGCAAACGGGUGCGGAACACGUACGCAACCUUCCUUUAACUGGAGAAUAGCCCCUCGAAAGAGGGAUUAAUACUCCGUAACAUGAUGAUAAGGCAUCUUAUUAUUAUUAUAGCUCCGGCGGUUAGAGAUGGGCGUGCGCCUGAUUAGGUAGUUGGCGGGGUAACGGCCCACCAAGCCUGCGAUCAGUAACUGGUGUGAGAGCACGACCAGUCAUACGGGCACUGAGACACGGGCCCGACUCCUACGGGAGGCAGCAGUAAGGAAUAUUGGUCAAUGGACGCAAGUCUGAACCAGCCAUGCCGCGUGGAGGAUUAAGGCCCUCUGGGUUGUAAACUCCUUUUAUCUGGGAAGAAAUCCAUAUAUUCUUAUAUGGUUGACGGUACCAGAGGAAUAAGCACCGGCUAACUCCGUGCCAGCAGCCGCGGUAAUACGGAGGGUGCAAGCGUUAUCCGGAUUCACUGGGUUUAAAGGGUGCGUAGGCGGGUAAGUAAGUCCGAGGUGAAAUCUCUGAGCUUAACUCAGAAACUGCCGUGGAUACUAUUUGCCUUGAAUAUUGUGGAGGUGAGCGGAAUAUGUCAUGUAGCGGUGAAAUGCUUAGAUAUGACAUAGAACACCAAUCGCGAAGGCAGCUCACUACACAAUCAUUGACGCUGAGGCACGAAAGCGUGGGGAUCAAACAGGAUUAGAUACCCUGGUAGUCCACGCCCUAAACGAUGAUUACUCGACAUCAGCGAUACACUGUUGGUGUCUGAGCGAAAGCAUUAAGUAAUCCACCUGGGAAGUACGAUCGCAAGAUUGAAACUC